Small nuclear RNA from Rattus norvegicus (Norway rat), 153 nucleotides. Ensembl annotates it as U2 spliceosomal RNA. Lineage: Eukaryota; Metazoa; Chordata; Mammalia; Rodentia; Muridae. The record is from Ensembl.
AUCGCUUCUCGGCCUUUUGGCUAAGAUCAAGUGUAGAAAAGGAGGAUCAGGUAUCCAUUCUUUUUCUUACUUCAUGUGUGAUUGUAUGUAGCACCUGAAUUACACUGUUUCUUAGCAACAGUUUCCUGGACACUGUAGAGUGAUAAAAACAGG